Molecule: long non-coding RNA, 809 nt
Filed under: Arabidopsis lyrata
Lineage: Eukaryota; Viridiplantae; Streptophyta; Magnoliopsida; Brassicales; Brassicaceae
Description: long non-coding RNA (ALYR_LNC000385)
Source: RNAcentral
CUUUCUCUCCUCCGACAUCGUCGAGCCUCUCCGACAACAACUCUACCCUAUGUCAAUAGUUGUUCAUAAUUUUAAUUUGCAUCUAUCGCCAUAUAUUCCUUGGAUCUAAAUAUCACAUUCCAUUUUUAGAAAACCAUUGUGAUUCAAAGUGUUUUUUUUUUAUAAAUGACAUGAUAUAUUUCCAGCAAAUGAUAAAUAAUUUUUACAUGAUUUAGGUUAUUUUAUAGUCACCCUAUCACCACUUCCGUGACCAUCACCCACCACCAUCGUUAGCUCCAUUUUGCACACUCUAAAAACACUCAUAAUUAAAUAAUAUUAAAAUUAAUUAUAAAAUAAUCUUUAGACACCCACCAAAAGUAAUCAAUGGAGGUGGUCUAACAAUCACAUGCUAUUUUAUUAAAUGACAUUAUUUUUUCUUCUGAUUCUCAUUGGAUGUCUCUCGCUCGUUGUUAGAAUUCAAGUUUUGAUUUUCUUUAUUUUCAGAUUUUGUGAUAUUAGUAUUCAUUUGAUUUUUUUUCUCUUAAUUACAUGUAUGUUUGUAUUUUGUUUGAGGGCCAAUUCAUCUCUGAAAAAACAUUAGUUUCCAAAGCUUUUUGCCUCAUGGCUAUUUCUUUAAUAUUUUUUGAGUCAAAGGUUAGAUACUAAUAUUAUCCUAAAAAUAAUUUAUGACCAAAAAAAGAAAAAAAAGCUUUACCAAUAGAAUGAAGUUAAAACAAUAGUUGUGUUUCUGAAGAAAUUAGUUAGUUUGCUUGGUGAGAAAAUAUGAGACAAUAUAUUUGUUUGUAUAGAGUUGAGUCUAUUAUCUAAUA